Molecule: unclassified non-coding RNA, 329 nt
Filed under: soil metagenome
Description: partial contains 5.8S ribosomal RNA, internal transcribed spacer 2, and large subunit ribosomal RNA
Rfam family: 5.8S ribosomal RNA (bases 1-120)
Source: RNAcentral
GAUGAAGAACGCAGCGAAAUGCGAUAAGUAAUGUGAAUUGCAGAAUUCAGUGAAUCAUCGAAUCUUUGAACGCACAUUGCGCCCUCUGGUAUUCCGGGGGGCAUGCCUGUUCGAGCGUCAUUACAACCCUCAAGCUUUGCUUGGUAUUGGACAUUGCCAGUUUCUGGCAGGUCUUAAAAUCAGUGGCGGUGCCAUUUGGCUUCAAGCGUAGUAAUUCUUCUCGCUUUGGAGAUCCAGGUGGUUACUUGCCAAUAACCCCCAAUUUUUUCAGGUUGACCUCGGAUCAGGUAGGGAUACCCGCUGAACUUAAGCAUAUCAUAAGCGGAGGA